Long non-coding RNA from Lates calcarifer (barramundi perch), 377 nucleotides. RefSeq lists it as uncharacterized. The transcript is spliced from 4 exons. NCBI's taxonomy places the organism in Eukaryota, Metazoa, Chordata, Actinopteri, Centropomidae. The record is from RefSeq and is a predicted model, not a curated record.
GCUCGUGGUUUAAGGUGAAAGCCGAGGUUAACGCAGUUGCCGUGAUGAGUAAACACCCACAGGUGUGCUCAACGCGCAACGAGUCUGAAGUCCCGUCUUCGAGAAGAGCACGUCCUCGCUGAUGUUAGCAAAGAUGCUAACACCGAGACCCAGGAGAGUUCAGCCAGGGCAGGGCAAAGGCCAUUGCCAUGACCUCCAAAUGGAUGACUGCUGCCAACACAACAAGCCAGCGGCACACCACCUGGAUGCCACCUGUUACUCAGUACCAAAAACAGGCAGGAUUUGAACCAGAUGCUGCACUUCUGGCACCAAGCUCCACGCUUUUUCCUGAGCACUUUACAGUCUUCAUUCUGGGUGUUGGAUGCCAAAAUUCCCAG